Molecule: ribosomal RNA, 468 nt
Filed under: Triticum aestivum (bread wheat)
Lineage: Eukaryota; Viridiplantae; Streptophyta; Magnoliopsida; Poales; Poaceae
Description: partial small subunit ribosomal RNA
Source: RNAcentral
AUGUGCCAACGAUUCGAUGAGGAUGGAGGCCAUCUAUUUUUUAAAUGCAAGCUAGUAAGGAAAGUGUGGAGUCUGAUGGGAUUAGAAAACAUCCGACAGCAAUGUAUGAACCUAACUGAUCCAAAGCAGAUUACUUUUUACUUGCUAAGUGCCGACCUUGAAGCCAAAACCAAAUGCAUUAGUCUGCUUUGGAACUGGUGGGAGUGUAGGAACAAGGUGAAUUUUGAGGGAAAAAGUUUUGCUGUUGUUUUUCAGGCUGUUUCUGAUGCAAAGGAGUAUUUAGAGUUCUUUGCACAGCGCAAAGAUUCAAAUCCGAAAAAGGUGCAAAGGUGGAAGCCCCCGCCACAAGAUAUUCUAAAGAUUAACGUUGAUGGAAGUUUCCAUAGUGACAAGAAGUGUGGUGGCUGGGGGUUUGUGAUCCGAGACCACAUGGGAGAUGUGAUUGGUGCAGGUGCUGGAAGGGUGGAG